GUUAAGAGGGUACAGGGCGCGGAGGUAAGGCGGAGGGUACGGGGGGUGAUCGGAAUUGCUGGGGGUAAGGCGGGGGACGGCGGUUUGUUAAGCGGGAGGUGCAAGCCCUGGGCUCAACCGAGGAAUAGCAUUUCGAACUGGCGAACUAGAGUCUUGUAGAGGGGGGUAGAAUUCCAGGUGUAGCGGUGAAAUGCGUAGAGAUCUGGAGGAAUACCGGUGGCGAAGGCGGCCCCCUGGACAAAGACUGACGCUCAUGCACGAAAGCGUGGGGAGCAAACAGGAUUAGAUACCCGAGUAGUC
This 300-nucleotide ribosomal RNA is filed under the name uncultured bacterium. Its description in RNAcentral is "partial 16S ribosomal RNA". The stretch from base 52 to 300 matches the Rfam family "Bacterial small subunit ribosomal RNA", at positions 547 to 795 of the family's 1533-position model. The record is from RNAcentral.